AUUGAACGCUGGCGGCAGGCCUAACACAUGCAAGUCGAACGAGUGGCGGACGGGUGAGUAAUGUCUGGGAAACUGCCCGAUGGAGGGGGAUAACUACUGGAAACGGUAGCUAAUACCGCAUACCAUCGGAUGUGCCCAGAUGGGAUUAGCUAGUAGGUGGGGUAACGGCUCACCUAGGCGACGUUCCCUAGCUGGUCUGAGAGGAUGACCACCCACACUGGAACUGGGACACGGUCCAGACUCCUACGGGAGGCAGCGGUGGGUAAUAUUGCACAAUGGGCGCAAGCCUGAUGCAGCCAUGCCGCGUGUAUGAAGAGGGCCUUCGGGUUGUAAGGUACUUUCAGCGAGGAGGCGUUACUCGCAGAAGAAGCACCGGCUAACUCCGUGCCAGCAGCCGCGGUAAUUC
Molecule: ribosomal RNA, 406 nt
Filed under: uncultured bacterium
Lineage: Bacteria
Description: partial 16S ribosomal RNA
Rfam family: Bacterial small subunit ribosomal RNA
Source: RNAcentral